GGUCGUGGCCAAGUGGUUAAGGCGAUACACUAGAAAUCUUUUGGGAUCUUCCCGCGCAGGUUCGAUUCCUGCCGACAUCG
Molecule: transfer RNA, 80 nt
Filed under: Dreissena polymorpha
Lineage: Eukaryota; Metazoa; Mollusca; Bivalvia; Myida; Dreissenidae
Description: tRNA-Ser
Rfam family: tRNA
About the family: Transfer RNA (tRNA) molecules are approximately 80 nucleotides in length. Their secondary structure includes four short double-helical elements and three loops (D, anti-codon, and T loops).
Source: RNAcentral